This 253-nucleotide ribosomal RNA is filed under the name uncultured bacterium. RNAcentral describes it as "partial 16S ribosomal RNA". It matches the Rfam family "Bacterial small subunit ribosomal RNA", at positions 524 to 776 of the family's 1533-position model. The record is from RNAcentral.
UACGAAGGGGGCUAGCGUUGCUCGGAAUCACUGGGCGUAAAGGGUGCGUAGGCGGGUCUUUAAGUCAGGGGGGAAAUCCUGGAGCUCAACUCCAGAACUGCCUUUGAUACUGAAGAUCUUGAGUCCGGGAGAGGUGAGUGGAACUGCGAGUGUAGAGGUGAAAUUCGUAGAUAUUCGCAAGAACACCAGUGGCGAAGGCGGCUCACUGGCCCGGUACUGACGCUGAGGCACGAAGGCCAGGGGAGCAAACGGG